Long non-coding RNA from Drosophila arizonae, 1494 nucleotides. Lineage: Eukaryota; Metazoa; Arthropoda; Insecta; Diptera; Drosophilidae. The record is from RefSeq and is a predicted model, not a curated record.
GCUAUGUCCAUUGUGCAAUUAUCUACAUACAUACAUACAUAUGUGCAAGAAUUGCAGGGAAUUGUUAGAGGGCUGUUUUAAGAGUUUCGUGUUCGUUACGAAGAGCGAAUGUUGCAGAAUUUGUUGUUGGUUAAUUUGGUGGAACAUGUUGCCAAUGCCGAAGAGCUUCAAACGUACUGCAAACGGAUUUGAGUGCUCAGUUCGCUUUUUCUCACAAUAGCGCGCGGACGUGGGGCCCGUCGUGCUGCCUCUCGUGUAAUUUUUCCCGUUUCAUGUUAGUAUGUGUAUGUAAGUCCGAACGAGCGCGUGCGUGCGUAUGUGUAGGUGUAGUCGCGUGUCGUUGAAUUAUACAAAAGCAGCAGAGGCAGCAGAGGCAGCAGCAACAACAAUAGCACUACAAACGGUAGCGGCAGCUCCAAAAGCAGCGAAGCAGCAGCAGUAACAUAAUCAAAAAACAUAAAAACAAACAACAUAAGCACGAAAAAAAAUUGAGAAACGGAACAUUUUUGGUGGCAAGUGUUCUCAGUGUGGCAGGCGGGCGGCAAAAAUGCUUUAGACAAUAAAACAGGUUUGCACUGUGGUAUGCGAGCGCAAGAGCAAGAGCGUAAGCGAUAGAGUGAGAGAGAACGAUAGAACGUUCUCUAAGAGAGCAAAGUUUUUGCGAAAAUUGACUGCAUAUAGCGUGGACUUGAAGGGUGAAAUGAGAGGAGUGCGAGGAGAACGUUAAAUACAUUUGCCACUUAUUGUGUGCAUCCUUUGGCAAGGUCUUUCGCAGACGUACGCGCUUGAUGCUUUCGCCACACUGUGCGUUGCUGCUGCGAACCAGUUUUCAUGGCAUUUGUUUUACAUAUUUUCAAUUGUUGCAAUCAAUUGGAAAAACCGUUGGCCCAGAAGACCGUUACUUCUGGGUUGCCAAGCUGAAUAGAAAUUCCAGGCAAGCAGCAAUCAGUUGGCCCCCCUUUUCCAUUCCCUAUUACCCUGCACAAAACAGCUGAGCUUUUGCAGUCGAGCCCCUAGCAACAGCGCAGCAGAAGCUUCUCAGCUGUGCAGCCGCAGCGCAGGCGCCAGUAUACACACACACACACGCAUACAUACAGACAUGUACUUCGAAUUCGACCAGUAAUUGCAUUGCUGCCAUCUCGCUCACGCAUACAUCGCUAUAUGUGCAGUAAUGCCGGAAAACAUUUUUUUAUUCUGUUUUGCAGUCACUGUCGACAGUGUCGCUGCCGCCGCUUCUGCCUCUGCCUCUGCUGCCGUCACUGCUACUGGAAGCUUUACAUAAGUUGACAUUUUGCCAACGUUUUUAGAGCUUGGCUGCAGGUCCUUUGCACAAGUUCUAGUAACGCGCUGCGCAAUCAGCUGCUGCUGCACCGCUUCAGUUCACCGUCGACGUCACUUGCAACCAGACGUUGACUUUUUUUGCAACUUGUUUAUCCACACCCGCAGCCAAACCCGCGAGCAAAUACCGCUUAGCCUGCAGUCAAUAACAAAAAC